ACUUUCUCUAGGCCUCACUUCUGAAAGCUUCCAGAGCCUUUCAUUAGACCAUGAACUGGCAACCAUGUUUGUAAUCUCAAAGCCCUUGGGGAAUACUCGAUAACUAAGCUAAAGCAAUGAAUAUUAAAAAGUAAUCUGGGUAUGGCAGCACAUGCUUUGACCCUAGCACUUGAGAGACAGAGGCAGUUUGGUCUACAGCACAAGUUCUAGGCCAACCAGGGUUAUAGAGUAGCCUUGUCUCAACAAAGCAACAUAAACAAAUAAACAACACCCCAGUAAGUUUAGGGGCAGGGAAAUGGCUCACUGGGUUAGAUAGUUUGAUGUGUAAGUGUGAGGGCCGGAAUUUGAAUCUCUGGUCUCCUUGUAAACAUCUGAGCAUGACUCCAUGUGCCCAGUGUAGAGGCAGAUCACAGCAAGUCUAGCCAAUGGGCAAACUUCAGGUUCAGUGAGAAACCGCAUCUCCAGGAUGGAAGGAAGAGAGCAAUGCAGGGAAAUACCCAGUGUCCUGCUGUGGCCUCCACAUGACCAGGGCUUGCUGCUUAGGGAGAAGGGCUGAGCUGCUGGUUCAUAAGUUCGGCAGAAUGUUCUGGAGAAAGGAAAUCAUGUGUCAGUGUGGCAAGGAAAAGGGAAAUUCAACUUAACUGUCCGGUUGCCCAAAGACCCAGAUGAAGCUUUAGUCUCUAAGGAGGCAGUUCCAGAAAAGGAUUCCAAGACUAAAAAAGGCACUGCAGGAAAAGGUA
Non-coding RNA from Myodes glareolus (Bank vole), 740 nucleotides. The record is from RefSeq and is a predicted model, not a curated record. Lineage: Eukaryota; Metazoa; Chordata; Mammalia; Rodentia; Cricetidae.